This is a ribosomal RNA of Pteropus vampyrus (large flying fox), 128 nucleotides long. The record is from Ensembl. Lineage: Eukaryota; Metazoa; Chordata; Mammalia; Chiroptera; Pteropodidae.
GUCUAUGGCCAUGCCACCCUGAACAAGCCCAAUUCUGCCUGAUCCCAUCUGAUCUAGGAGCUAAGCAGGGUAGAGCCUGGUUAGUACUUGGAUGGGAAACCACCAAGGAAGACCAGGUGCUGUAGAUG